UACGGGGGGAGCAAGCGUUGUUCGGAUUUACCGGGCGUAAAGGGCGCGUAGGCGGCUUGGUCAGUCCCGUGUGAAAUCCCUCGGCUCAACUGAGGAACUGCACGGGAAACUGCCUGGCUUGAGUUCGGGAGAGGGAAGCGGAAUUCCGGGUGUAGCGGUGAAAUGCGUAGAUAUCCGGAGGAACACCGGUGGCGAAGGCGGCUUCCUGGACCGACACUGACGCUGAGGCGCGAAAGCUAGGGGAGCAAACGGG
This 253-nucleotide ribosomal RNA is filed under the name uncultured bacterium. RNAcentral describes it as "partial 16S ribosomal RNA". It matches the Rfam family "Bacterial small subunit ribosomal RNA", at positions 524 to 776 of the family's 1533-position model. The record is from RNAcentral.